AUUGAACGCUGGCGGCAUGCUUUACACAUGCAAGUCGAACGGUAACAGGUUAAGCUGACGAGUGGCGAACGGGUGAGUAAUGCAUCGGAACGUGCCCGAUCGUGGGGGAUAACGCAGCGAAAGCUGCGCUAAUACCGCAUACGAUCUGAGGAUGAAAGCGGGGGACCGUAAGGCCUCGCGCGAUCGGAGCGGCCGAUGUCAGAUUAGGUAGUUGGUGGGGUAAAGGCCCACCAAGCCGACGAUCUGUAGCUGGUCUGAGAGGACGACCAGCCACACUGGGACUGAGACACGGCCCAGACGCCUACGGGAGGCAGCAGUGGGGAAUGUUGGACAAUGGGAGAAAGCCUGAUCCAGCAAUGCCGCGUGCAGGAAGAAGGCCUUCGGGUUGUAAACUGCUUUUGGACGGAGCGAAAAGGUCCUUUCUAAUACAAGGGGCUCAUGACGGUACCGUAAGAAUAAGCACCGGCUAACUACGUGCCAGCCGCCGCGGUAA
This 493-nucleotide ribosomal RNA is filed under the name uncultured bacterium. Its description in RNAcentral is "partial 16S ribosomal RNA". It matches the Rfam family "Bacterial small subunit ribosomal RNA", at positions 29 to 523 of the family's 1533-position model. The record is from RNAcentral.